GUUGGGCCUGCUCGGUGAGAAGAAAAAUUUAACAGCUGCGGUAUUAUAACUGUACUAAGGUAGCAUAAUAAUUUGCCUUAUAAAUUAAGGCUAGAAUGAAUGGUUUGACGAAAAUUAGACUGUCUUUAUUUUAUUUGUUAGAAAUUAAUUUUUAUAGUGAAAAAGCUUGAAUAAUUUAAGGGGACGAGAAGACCCUAUUGAGCUUUAUUUAUUAAUAUUUAAAUAUAAAUAUAUAAUUUAUAUUAUGAAAAUUAUGUUGUGUAUAUAUAUAUAUUUAAUUGGAUUUAAUUUUGAUUGGGGUGAUCAAGGAAUAAAGAUAAAGUAACUUCCUUAAAAUUAAUGAUUGUUUUUAUAGAGUAAUAAACCAAGUUUUUUGCUUAUAAGAUAAGUUACCAUAGGGGUAACAGCGUAAUUUUUUUUGAGAGUUCAUAUUGAAAAAAGAGAUUGCGACCUCGAUGUUGGAUUAAAAAUUACCUUAAGG
Molecule: ribosomal RNA, 481 nt
Filed under: Callistoctopus minor (long arm octopus)
Lineage: Eukaryota; Metazoa; Mollusca; Cephalopoda; Octopoda; Octopodidae
Description: partial 16S ribosomal RNA
Rfam family: Bacterial large subunit ribosomal RNA
Source: RNAcentral